RNAcentral lists this long non-coding RNA (2355 nucleotides) under Nicotiana tabacum (common tobacco). Its description in RNAcentral is "long non-coding RNA (NTAB_LNC015531)". Lineage: Eukaryota; Viridiplantae; Streptophyta; Magnoliopsida; Solanales; Solanaceae. The record is from RNAcentral.
GUGACUUCAAAAUUGAAAGUGCCAAUGUAGAUUCAAAGUCAGAAACGCAAAAGCCGCUCAACUAAGCUUAACAUGAUCACCAUUUGAAAGUUUAAAAGCAAUCCAUUCCUACACUUGAGUUCGAACGGUAUUAAAACACCCAGUAUUCUGAAAUUAUACAAUAGAUCCCAGCAACGAAAUCAACCUAAGCCCUUAGCAUGCACUAGCACUCGAUACAAACCAAAAACAGUAAUAUACAGAACUAAAGCACUUAAUCAUGUAUACUAAAAGUAUUAAACAACAUCAAACUUGAGAUAGUUAAUUGAAUUUCAACUUGAAUUUCCAACAGCUUCGUGCAAGCCAAUCAAUAUUCAAUUUCAUGUCAAGUUUGAGUAUUGUACCUGGAGAUUUGAAAAAUAAUGAAGGAGAAGAGUGAGUCAGCAGCAGUUCAAACAACAGUAGACCAAGAGAUGAUCAAACAGCAACAAUACACAGCCCAGGAAAUUGAGACACAGCCCAGAAUAAUUUUCAUAGAAGAAACAACACCGAUAGUAGACCAAAUUCACUUGCAGAAACCCAAAGAGACUCAAAACUACUCCCAAUACAACUUUUGAAGCUAACAGUCAUCCAAAUAGCUCAAAAUAGACUCAGCCAGCCAACUACAACUCAAAAUCACCCAAAUAAACUCGAAGAUAAACCUAAAAUAUCUCAAAGACAAUGACUCCACCCAAACCAGUUCAGUUAUGCCCAAAAUCACUUGAACAAAGCAACAGUUCGCUCCAGAAACUUUUAAUAACUCGAAUUUAGCACAGAAAUGAAGACAUUCAAAUAGGAAUUCAGAAAGGAUCUAAACAAAAAAGGCAAUGGAACAGUGAUUUUUUUUUACUUUUUUUUUUUUUGAAAGUUUCUACUGUUUUAUUUUUUGAUUUUCUCUUAAGGAAAGCUAAGAUCUAAAAGUAGUUUUGAGCUGCCAUUUGAAUUCUCAGAACUGCAGGCUUGAGAAGUGUUUUUGGGGGAAGUUUUUUUUUUUGAGCUCUCAAAAACUUCUGAAUGAAGUGAAGGGCAUGCCCUUUUAUAGGCACAAAUGAGGGCAGCCCUCAGAUUUUUAGUUUUUCCCAACAGUCCCUCUUCUUAUUUUCAUUUAAACCCCUAUUUCUUGACUUGUUCCCCAAGCUAGUGUCCUAAAUUGAUUAAAAUCUACACUAAAGUACUAUUCUAGAAGGCCCUAGGGUAUUCUUCUACCUAUACAAUACCUAUACUACCCUUGCUCUUGUUUCGAAAUUACCAUUCUUAAAGAAACUACCCUUUCCUUAUGCCCAAACUACCCCUAUUUCCUCUUAAAAUUACUGACCCCAGUUGACUACACCAAACCCAUUUACCCUUAGCUAAAACUAACUGAAGUUAACUAACGAAUGAAUUAUCCAGCUAUACCCAAAUAAACUAUCUUAAACACUAUCUCAAUUAACACUAAAAUUGAACAAACAAUUAAUACUAGCUGAAAUCAGUCUUAAACAAAUUCCAAAUCAAACCUCAUAUGAACAAAACAAAGGAGAACCUAAUUAAACUAACGAUUAAUUGACGAUUUAUUUAAACGAUUAACAGAAAUUCAGUAAAAGAGAAGAAAUUAGAAUCAAACAAAAAGAGGCAGACAUGAAUACUUCUAACUAACAAAGAAAACAAAGCUCACAACUACAGGGGGCGAACAAAAGAAACAGAUAGAAAUUAGAAAAGAAACUCACUCAGACUCCACGCGGAUUAACCCAUCGAAAUUGAAUUCUGGUUAACGUUACUUGUCUAUUUUAACCAAAAUAGGCAGGUAAGGUUAACAGAAAUCCAUUGACUUUGAAGCUCUUUAAAACAGGCCCGAGCUGACCAACCCUAGAUCCAAUAUUUGCUGAGCUUCAGAAAGAUUCGAGGGAUUUCGCCCAGGGAUUCAAGAUAAGGAAGGUCAGGGGAUUAUCAGGUAUCGAUUUGAGGCUGUUUGGACAAAAUAGGAUUUUGGGUCUGAUUUUAAAAUCAAGAUUCGAGAGGCUAGAAUUGAUUCGAAGGAUGAUUUUUGGUGUUUUGGAAAGAGGAUAUGAAGGCGAGGAGGAGGUGUGAAUUUAGGCGCCAUUGGACGACGGUGCCGCCACCGGCGUUCUAGGGAUUUUAGGGCGGCGCGGCUAGGGUUUGAGAGGGGUGAGGAAGACGAUGGGAAAUGGGGUAGGGGGGAACGUUUCGGACAGUCUUAUAGUACGCCUACCCUACCUCUAAGCCGUUGAUCUUGUUAACCUCGACGGUUUGGAUUGAUCGACGCCAAACGGCGUCGUUUUGAUUUUAGUGUAUUGGACCGGGUGGGGAAGGGGUUCUGGGCUGGCCGGGUUUGGGAGGUCUGGG